GACGAACGCUGGCGGCGUGCUUAACACAUGCAAGUCGAACGGAAAGGCCUUUUCGGAGGUACUCGAGUGGCGAACGGGUGAGUAACACGUGGGUGAUCUGCCCUGCACUCUGGGAUAAGCCUGGGAAACUGGGUCUAAUACCGGAUAGGACCGCACUUUAGUGUGUGUGGUGGAAAGUUUUUUCGGUGUAGGAUGAGCCCGCGGCCUAUCAGCUUGUUGGUGGGGUAAUGGCCUACCAAGGCGGCGACGGGUAGCCGGACUGAGAGGUUGGUCGGCCAUAUUGGGACUGAGAUACGGCCCAGACUCCUACGGGAGGCAGCAGUGGGGAAUAUUGCACAAUGGGCGCAAGCCUGAUGCAGCGACGCCGCGUGGGGGAUGACGGCCUUCGGGUUGGAAACUCCUUUCGCCAGGGACGAAGCGUUUUGUGACGGUACCUGGAGAAGAAGCACCGGCUAACUACGUG
Molecule: ribosomal RNA, 463 nt
Filed under: uncultured bacterium
Lineage: Bacteria
Description: partial 16S ribosomal RNA
Rfam family: Bacterial small subunit ribosomal RNA
Source: RNAcentral